UGCCAGCCGCCGCGGUAAUACGAAGGGUGCUAGCGUUGUUCGGAAUCACUGGGCAUAAAGCGCACGUAGGCGGAUUGAGUAGUUAAAAGUGAAAGCCCCGGGCUCAACUUGGGAAUUGCUUUUAAAACCAUCAAUCUUGAGUGUGGAAGGGGUAACUGGAAUUCCUGGUGGAGCGGUGAAAUGCGUAGAGAUCAGGAGGAACGCCGGAGGCGAAAGCGAGUUACUGGUCCAUGUCUGACGCUCAGGUGCGAAAGCUAGGGGAGCAAACAGGAUUAGAUA
RNAcentral lists this ribosomal RNA (279 nucleotides) under uncultured bacterium. Its description in RNAcentral is "partial 16S ribosomal RNA". It matches the Rfam family "Bacterial small subunit ribosomal RNA", at positions 506 to 784 of the family's 1533-position model. The record is from RNAcentral.